GGUUAAGCAACUAAGCGUACACGGUGGAUGCCCUGGCAGUCAGAGGCGAUGAAGGACGUGCUAAUCUGCGAUAAGCGUCGGUAAGGUGAUAUGAACCGUUAUAACCGGCGAUUUCCGAAUGGGGAAACCCAGUGUGUUUCGACACACUAUCAUUAACUGAAUCCAUAGGUUAAUGAGGCGAACCGGGGGAACUGAAACAUCUAAGUACCCCGAGGAAAAGAAAUCAACCGAGAUUCCCCCAGUAGCGGCGAGCGAACGGGGAGCAGCCCAGAGUCUGAAUCAGUGUGUGUGUUAGUGGAAGCGUCUGGAAAGGCGCGCGAUACAGGGUGACAGCCCCGUACACAAAAAUGCACAUGCUGUGAGCUCGAUGAGUAGGGCGGGACACGUGGUAUCCUGUCUGAAUAUGGGGGGACCAUCCUCCAAGGCUAAAUACUCCUGACUGACCGAUAGUGAACCAGUACCGUGAGGGAAAGGCGAAAAGAACCCCGGCGAGGGGAGUGAAAAAGAACCUGAAACCGUGUACGUACAAGCAGUGGGAGCACGCUUAGGCGUGUGACUGCGUACCUUUUGUAUAAUGGGUCAGCGACUUAUAUUCUGUAGCAAGGUUAACCGAAUAGGGGAGCCGAAGGGAAACCGAGUCUUAACUGGGCGUUAAGUUGCAGGGUAUAGACCCGAAACCCGGUGAUCUAGCCAUGGGCAGGUUGAAGGUUGGGUAACACUAACUGGAGGACCGAACCGACUAAUGUUGAAAAAUUAGCGGAUGACUUGUGGCUGGGGGUGAAAGGCCAAUCAAACCGGGAGAUAGCUGGUUCUCCCCGAAAGCUAUUUAGGUAGCGCCUCGUGAAUUCAUCUCCGGGGGUAGAGCACUGUUUCGGCAAGGGGGUCAUCCCGACUUACCAACCCGAUGCAAACUGCGAAUACCGGAGAAUGUUAUCACGGGAGACACACGGCGGGUGCUAACGUCCGUCGUGAAGAGGGAAACAACCCAGACCGCCAGCUAAGGUCCCAAAGUCAUGGUUAAGUGGGAAACGAUGUGGGAAGGCCCAGACAGCCAGGAUGUUGGCUUAGAAGCAGCCAUCAUUUAAAGAAAGCGUAAUAGCUCACUGGUCGAGUCGGCCUGCGCGGAAGAUGUAACGGGGCUAAACCAUGCACCGAAGCUGCGGCAGCGACACUGUGUGUUGUUGGGUAGGGGAGCGUUCUGUAAGCCUGUGAAGGUGUACUGUGAGGUAUGCUGGAGGUAUCAGAAGUGCGAAUGCUGACAUAAGUAACGAUAAAGCGGGUGAAAAGCCCGCUCGCCGGAAGACCAAGGGUUCCUGUCCAACGUUAAUCGGGGCAGGGUGAGUCGACCCCUAAGGCGAGGCCGAAAGGCGUAGUCGAUGGGAAACAGGUUAAUAUUCCUGUACUUGGUGUUACUGCGAAGGGGGGACGGAGAAGGCUAUGUUGGCCGGGCGACGGUUGUCCCGGUUUAAGCGUGUAGGCUGGUUUUCCAGGCAAAUCCGGAAAAUCAAGGCUGAGGCGUGAUGACGAGGCACUACGGUGCUGAAGCAACAAAUGCCCUGCUUCCAGGAAAAGCCUCUAAGCAUCAGGUAACAUCAAAUCGUACCCCAAACCGACACAGGUGGUCAGGUAGAGAAUACCAAGGCGCUUGAGAGAACUCGGGUGAAGGAACUAGGCAAAAUGGUGCCGUAACUUCGGGAGAAGGCACGCUGAUAUGUAGGUGAAGCGACUUGCUCGUGGAGCUGAAAUCAGUCGAAGAUACCAGCUGGCUGCAACUGUUUAUUAAAAACACAGCACUGUGCAAACACGAAAGUGGACGUAUACGGUGUGACGCCUGCCCGGUGCCGGAAGGUUAAUUGAUGGGGUUAGCGCAAGCGAAGCUCUUGAUCGAAGCCCCGGUAAACGGCGGCCGUAACUAUAACGGUCCUAAGGUAGCGAAAUUCCUUGUCGGGUAAGUUCCGACCUGCACGAAUGGCGUAAUGAUGGCCAGGCUGUCUCCACCCGAGACUCAGUGAAAUUGAACUCGCUGUGAAGAUGCAGUGUACCCGCGGCAAGACGGAAAGACCCCGUGAACCUUUACUAUAGCUUGACACUGAACAUUGAGCCUUGAUGUGUAGGAUAGGUGGGAGGCUUUGAAGUGUGGACGCCAGUCUGCAUGGAGCCGACCUUGAAAUACCACCCUUUAAUGUUUGAUGUUCUAACGUUGACCCGUGAUCCGGGUUGCGGACAGUGUCUGGUGGGUAGUUUGACUGGGGCGGUCUCCUCCUAAAGAGUAACGGAGGAGCACGAAGGUUGGCUAAUCCUGGUCGGACAUCAGGAGGUUAGUGCAAUGGCAUAAGCCAGCUUGACUGCGAGCGUGACGGCGCGAGCAGGUGCGAAAGCAGGUCAUAGUGAUCCGGUGGUUCUGAAUGGAAGGGCCAUCGCUCAACGGAUAAAAGGUACUCCGGGGAUAACAGGCUGAUACCGCCCAAGAGUUCAUAUCGACGGCGGUGUUUGGCACCUCGAUGUCGGCUCAUCACAUCCUGGGGCUGAAGUAGGUCCCAAGGGUAUGGCUGUUCGCCAUUUAAAGUGGUACGCGAGCUGGGUUUAGAACGUCGUGAGACAGUUCGGUCCCUAUCUGCCGUGGGCGCUGGAGAACUGAGGGGGGCUGCUCCUAGUACGAGAGGACCGGAGUGGACGCAUCACUGGUGUUCGGGUUGUCAUGCCAAUGGCACUGCCCGGUAGCUAAAUGCGGAAGAGAUAAGUGCUGAAAGCAUCUAAGCACGAAACUUGCCCCGAGAUGAGUUCUCCCUGACUCCUUGAGAGUCCUGAAGGAACGUUGAAGACGACGACGUUGAUAGGCCGGGUGUGUAAGCGCAGCGAUGCGUUGAGCUAACCGGUACUAAUGAACCGUGAGGCUUAACCUU
RNAcentral lists this ribosomal RNA (2903 nucleotides) under Escherichia coli. RNAcentral describes it as "23S ribosomal RNA". It matches the Rfam family "Bacterial large subunit ribosomal RNA". The record is from RNAcentral. Lineage: Bacteria; Pseudomonadati; Pseudomonadota; Gammaproteobacteria; Enterobacterales; Enterobacteriaceae.